Molecule: ribosomal RNA, 497 nt
Filed under: uncultured bacterium
Lineage: Bacteria
Description: partial 16S ribosomal RNA
Rfam family: Bacterial small subunit ribosomal RNA
Source: RNAcentral
GAUGAACGCUGGCGGCGUGCCUAAUACAUGCCAGUCGAGCGAACAGAUGAGGAGCUUGCUCCUCUGACGUUAGCGGCGGACGGGUGAGUAACACGUGGAUAACCUACCUAUAAGACUGGGAUAACUUCGGGAAACCGGAGCUAAUACCGGAUAAUAUAUUGAACCGCAUGGUUCAAUAGUGAAAGACGGUUUUGCUGUCACUUAUAGAUGGAUCCGCGCCGCAUUAGCUAGUUGGUAAGGUAACGGCUUACCAAGGCAACGAUGCGUAGCCGACCUGAGAGGGUGAUCGGCCACACUGGAACUGAGACACGGUCCAGACUCCUACGGGAGGCAGCAGUAGGGAAUCUUCCGCAAUGGGAGAAAGCUUGACGGAGCAACGCCGCGUGAGUGAUGAAGGUCUUCGGAUCGUAAAACUCUGUUAUUAGGGAAGAACAAAUGUGUAAGUAACUAUGCACGUCUUGACGGUACCUAAUCAGAAAGCCACGGCUAACUACGUG